CGAAACCGAUAGCGAACAAGUACCGUGAGGGAAAGUUGAAAAGUACUCUGAAUAGAGAGUUAAAUAGUACGUGAAACCGCUUAGGGGUUAAGCCCGAUGAACCCGAAUAUCUGAUGUGAGAAAUUCAAUACAAUUCAAAUUCAUAUUUUUUUAUAUUGAAUUUGUAUAGUAUGCACUUUUCUCAUAGUAAGACAUUGUAAUCCAUUGAUAUUAUAUCUCAAUUUUGAGAUGAUUUAACAUACGGACAAAAUGUUUAUGAUUAUUCUAUCAGUGAUAUGUUUACAUGUUAUAUGAAUAAAAUCGUUUUGUACCUGUUUAAAUAGUCGAUGGAUUUUUCAUUGAAAUCAUGCUUGCAAUUUAUUUUGCGUUUCGUAUCAUUAAUUUUUAAUUUUUGAUAGCAGAAAUGGCAUGUAUUCGAUUAACAAUGCGAUAGAUUUGGGAUACUUUCAGGACCCGUCUUGA
RNAcentral lists this ribosomal RNA (462 nucleotides) under Craneiobia corni. Its description in RNAcentral is "partial large subunit ribosomal RNA". It matches the Rfam family "Eukaryotic large subunit ribosomal RNA", at positions 329 to 657 of the family's 3401-position model. Lineage: Eukaryota; Metazoa; Arthropoda; Insecta; Diptera; Cecidomyiidae. The record is from RNAcentral.